AUAGGCCUUUUUCACAGAAGACAUUUUGACAUAUCACUGUAGGAAAAUCAGAAGUGUAAAUAAUGAAAUUAAUGAUGGCUGAAUUCCAUUUAGCUGCUUCAGUUUCAGGGUCCUGGAUUGCGCAUGCUGCCAGACUGACACACUAUCACAAUGGAGUUCUCAUUAAUGCUGCGGUCCAUCAAGGCCAACACCUCACCCCACAAGAACAGUUUCCUCCCGUCUGCAGCUGGCCUAAUCAACAAGGCCCGGGACACAGACUCUCAUCCUGUCCCAUGGACACUGCACGUUACAUUAAGAUCCAGUAGAAGGCAACCUUGCACAAUUUUCAGGACUUCAUCACUCCACCGUCAGUGUUCAUAACAUCUGCUCUGUCUCAUCAUAUUUUUUCUGUUGUCCUGUAAGCAAUCGAUGACGCUCUUUGAAAGAGAGGAAACACCAUCUUCAGCUUCUCCAACUCAAUACUGAACAGGCUCACUGUACUAUACUUCUGUUCUCCUUCUCUUGUGUUAUUUCAUUAUUGAUGAAAAAGGAGGAAAACACUCUUGGUGACACAGAAGCUUCUGUACUUUCCCAUAUAUUGAUGGAAGGAUCACAGCUUAUUUUUGCUCAACAGACCUGGGAGCUGGAAUGAAAUGUCAGCUGUGUGACACAAUUAUUCCUCAGUGUGCUCCGGCAUCUCGAAGCAGAAAACACCCUGCUGACUCAGAUCUCAUUAAGAUGCACUGAAGGGAGCAGCUGUAUGAUUUCUAAGCAAAAUGGUAGAAUUAGAGCAGAGAGAUGAAAAAAAAAACAGAUGAAAAAUGAAUGUUGUGAAAUGCUUGUGCCAGUGAGACAAUAAACCCCAAGUGAGUAGAGCGGCUCAGUGCUUUUGCAAUCCACAGAAAUUUUUUUAAAUUGAAGUGUUAUACCAUCCAAUAAGAAGAGAAAUCAAAUCCAUUUAAUACAAUGAUCUUGUAAUCCUGCAGUGAAUCAUGAAAAGUCUGUGAUUUACUGUAUGUAAUCAAAUUCACCUGCUCACUGUGUUGAGGUCAAAUGUCACAAUUUUGCAGUUGCAGAGAAAAUGAGCUGCUGGUUGUGUUUUUUUUGCAGUUAAUUAAUCUGCUCCAUAAUCCUUCAAAAAGUCCCCACAAGAAUAGGUCUAUGUUUCAGUUGUGAAGGUGUGUUGUAGGAAUAUUGCAGGUGAAAGUGUGUUUGUAAAGUCCUACUGAAGUGUUCACUGGACGUAACAAUUCCCGUAAGAUUCUGAUAUUAGCUGGUAAAUUCUUGUUGGACUGCUAGUUAUCCCUGCAGGACAAUCUCACUGAGCAGGAUACAGUUUGUCAGCAGAAUCUAAACUUUCCUGCUUCACUAAUUAAACAAGAAGUCUGUGUACCACAUAUGUACUUAAUUUUUGCUGCACAAAUUAGAAAAAUACAUUCCGGGCAUUUGUUGAUCAACAAAUCACUCUAUUGCUAGUCUUGAUUGCUAUAUAACAAUGGUCAAUCAGUCCAAACUGGACAGUAAAUCAUCACGAGACUGCAGAACCAGGAUGCAAGCACACAAACACGCUCUAAUAUGCAAACUGAAGUUGUCCUGACCGUGUUGGCCAGAGUGAAAUAGAGUUAUAGGUGACAAAUGGUUGUGAUUUUAUACACGCAUCUGUGAUGGUCAUCGUAUCAAUAUAGUUGACAAAACCCUCUCACCACAAGGUCCAUUUAGUAGCUACUCUGGAGCUUUCGAUUUUAUCACACAAUCCUUCUCAGCAGAUGGAGGUCAUGAACAAUGUUUGGCUGCGCAGCAUAAGUCUGAAAUCACUGACACACUGGAGGGCAGUUGGGCAAGUAAGCUGGUAAAUGCAGAUGUGUACACCUGUGUAGAGCGCUGACAAAAGUUGUGGUAAAAUGUGCAGCUGCAUGUCUGGUACGUUUGUAGGUAACUUCUACAUCUGGAUGUCGAACUUGUGGAGUCAGCACUUUCUGUCUCCUUCUUGUUCCUGUCACAAGUAAUGGAACAGGUGCUGUUAAGGUGGCAAGACAAGGUCACUGGCGUCAUUUCUCAGCACCACCGGGAGCCGUUUGUCAGAGCUGGCUAUGAUUUAAAGCUCCCCUUGCAAUAAAUAACAGAGUGAAUCAUUUGGCUACUGGCGGCUGUCCCGGGGUUAAAGUAUCUGUAAAUUGUGAGCAUUCCUCUUCCUCUUACACUUGUUUCACUCAGGCGAACGCUUUGACCUGCUGCUGUGUCUCUGUCUCGGGCUGCAGCUUUUAAGUUAGAGCAUCCACACUUAAAGAGGAAUGAGAAUUCAUAUUAAUCUCCGGGCCCAGAAAAUUAAUUUAGAGCCAUACUUAUGCAGAAAUACCUGCGUAAAACCACAUAAACCUUUGAACCACAAAGGCCAUUGCUAGGGCUGCUCUGAUGGGGAUGCUGUUAAAGAUAAGAGCCACAUAUAAACAUAUAAAUUUACACCACAAUGGCAUUUAGAGUGCUUUUGUGACAAAUAGUAACUGCUUGCAGAAACAUCUGUACCAUAAACAUGAUUUAGCAGUUAUUGUUAAACUGUUGUACAUUAGUAUUUUACACAGAAAAAAAACAACAAAAAAACAACAACCCAGAAACAAGUCUUAAAUCACAUCUUGACUUUAAUGUAUAAAAGUCCAAUAACAGCAUAUUACAGCAGCAUAUAUAUCGUACAUACAUAAUUUAUAUUGGAAAAGAGGAGGUGUAAUAUUCAGUACAAAAAGAGGAGAUGAGCAGCUGUACCAUUUCUCACCAAGCGUCAUUUUAUUACUUCUUCAUCUCAAUUCAUGGUACAAAAAGAAACACACAAUAACACAUGGUAUAUUUAGUGUGCACUGUAUAAUAUACAACAUAAUGCAAUAAGACUACAUACAGAUUUUAUAUUUAUUUAUGUACAUAAUAUACACUAAUUAUAUAGAUUGAUUUGGAAUGUCUUUAUUUUUAACCUCUGACUGAAAUCAAACUCUCUGACUACAUCUACACAGUGGAGGUGACACCCUUCUCUGAUCUAAAGAGAAUUCCUCUCUAAAUAAACUGCACACAGGUUUGAAGGGGAGGAAAAUACAACAAUGCGGCAGUGCACUAAGCUUGAAUAAACAUCAGCUCAGCUACCCAUCUCUGCUUUUUCGAUGUCAUGCCGGCAAAUAUGGGAGGCUUUUCAAUCUUCUCUGGCUCCUGGAGCACUUGGCUUUCAGCUGUGUGAUUAAGUGUGUGUGUGUGUAUAUGUGUGUUUGUGAAGUGCAUCCUGGGGGCUAGAUUAGCUCUAGAUCUGUCAGUUCAGACAGGAUGCCUGCUUUGCCUCUCACUGUCAAGAGUUUGCUUUCUGCGUACACACACACACACACACACACACACACACACACACACACACACACACACACACACACACACACACACACACACACACACAGGGGAAA
Molecule: long non-coding RNA, 3410 nt
Organism: Siniperca chuatsi (mandarin fish)
Lineage: Eukaryota; Metazoa; Chordata; Actinopteri; Centrarchiformes; Sinipercidae
Exons: 3
Source: RefSeq, a predicted model, not a curated record